RNAcentral lists this ribosomal RNA (457 nucleotides) under Sparsitubus nelumbiformis. Its description in RNAcentral is "SSU rRNA". It matches the Rfam family "Bacterial small subunit ribosomal RNA", at positions 402 to 896 of the family's 1533-position model. Lineage: Eukaryota; Fungi; Basidiomycota; Agaricomycetes; Polyporales; Polyporaceae. The record is from RNAcentral.
UGAAUCAUAGAAUUUCUUUAAAUUCAUGAUGUCGUAAGGGAAAAUAAUGAUAAUACCUUACUAUGAGUGUCGUCCAAAUCUGGUGCCAGAAGACUCGGUAAGACCAGAGACGCAAACGUUAAUCAUCUUAAACAGGCGUAAAGGGUUUGUAGGCAGCUUACAUCAGAAUAUGAUUGCGAAAUAAAGUAGUCUAAUUGAAAGCUAGAAUCAAAAAGAGGUUAUAGUGUAUAACGCCUAGAGGAGGGCUGAUAUCCGUAGAUCCUAGGCAGAAUACUCAGGGCGAAGGCCACUCUCCAUUAAUGAUUGACGCUGAGAAACGAAGGUUAGGGUAGGAAAUAGGAUUAGAUACCCCGGUACUCCUUUCUGUAAACGAUGAAUGGUAGUCAUUAGUUAAAACUAACUAGAGACGAAGUUAACACAAUAACCAUUCCGCCUUGUGAGUACUACUGCAAAGUAG